Molecule: long non-coding RNA, 694 nt
Filed under: Parus major (Great Tit)
Lineage: Eukaryota; Metazoa; Chordata; Aves; Passeriformes; Paridae
Description: lncRNA (ENSPMJG00000002550.1)
Source: RNAcentral
UUUUAUUUUUCCAGUGCAGUUUUUUCAUUUGCUUUUUCAGCUGUCCUCAGUGCACCAGUGGACAUCAUUGAAAAGAGCAGUUGUGCUGAGCCAUUAGCAAGAAACAUUUGUAAAGCAGCUCCCAAGGGAAGUGUUGAUCAGUCUUUCCACAUGUACCCAUAACAUUCAUGGAUAAACCUGCUAGAACAGUGAAAAAGCAAAUGUCUGUGUUAGAGAGAUCCUGAAUGACUCUGACACCAGUAGGGAAGUUUCUGCAUGACCUAUGGUUGUGUCCCAAGUGGUCCAGAACAUCACUGGUGCUUCAAGCUGCUCCUGUGGUUUCUCUGCAAGUGUUUACCAAGAAACUGCAUUUUGAGAUGGAAAACCAAGUCCCCUUGGUCCCACACUCACCAGUUGUUAACUGUGGUCUGUGUGGCUGGUCCAAAAUAAAACAAUGUCUCCCCCAGUUCAGAUGGAAAUUAAUCUGAGAAAAACUGAAAGACUCUACUAUCCUUUGCAGAAAUUUUAAAUAAGUGAUUUAUCAGCAUUUUAUUUUCAGAUUUGAAAGACCUAAUAAGAACAAAAUUGAUCAUCAUGGGCAAAAAGUCCUUCAUAACAAUGUUUAAUCCAUUAACCAUAAAAUUUCUCUCACACCCCCUCUGUAAGAAAAAUCAAUAUAUCAUAUAAAGAAAUAAAGAAAUGCCAAAUGUCUGCA